UUGAUCCUGGCUCAGAAUCAACGCUGGCGGCGUGCCUAACACAUGCAAGUCGAACGAGAAAGUGGAGCAAUCCAUGAGUAAAGUGGCGACCGGGUGAGUUACACGUGACCAAUCUACCCUUGAGUGGGGGAUAACCUCGGGAAACCGGGUCUAAUACCGCAUAAUAUCUCUGGAUCGGAAGAACUGGAGAUCAAAGGAGUAAUUCGCUUAAGGAGGAGGUCGCGGCUGAUUAGCUAGUUGGCGGGGUAAUGGCCCACCAAGGCAAAGAUCGGUAGCCGGCCUGAGAGGGCGCACGGCCAUACUGGAACUGAAACACGGUCCAGACUCCUACGGGAGGCAGCAGUGGGGAUUUUUGCGCAAUGGGGGAAACCCUGACGCAGCAACGCCGCGUGGAGGAUGUAGUCCCUUGGGACGUAAACUCCUUUCGACCCGGACGAUAAUGACGGUACUGGUGGAAGAAGCCCCGGCUAACUUCGUGCCAGCAGCCGCGGUAAUAAGGU
RNAcentral lists this ribosomal RNA (500 nucleotides) under uncultured Acidobacteriota bacterium. RNAcentral describes it as "bacterial SSU rRNA". It matches the Rfam family "Bacterial small subunit ribosomal RNA", at positions 13 to 529 of the family's 1533-position model. Lineage: Bacteria; Pseudomonadati; Acidobacteriota. The record is from RNAcentral.